RNAcentral lists this long non-coding RNA (967 nucleotides) under Olea europaea subsp. europaea. The record is from RNAcentral. Lineage: Eukaryota; Viridiplantae; Streptophyta; Magnoliopsida; Lamiales; Oleaceae.
AAAAUUUCGACAUUAAAGCACCAAUGAAAAAUUGAAAUCAACCAACACAUGAGGAAGUCCGAACCAGCUUACGCGCUCCUCGACUAAUCCCACAGGGACUUGAAGAGGAAGUAUUCACACUUGAAGCUCAAGUAGUCACAUACAGGAAAGAAGUUUCAUUAGUACUGAUAAGUGCGUUUUUGUGCACUUAUUUAAUGCACAAACAUGACUAAAUUACGAGCAAAAUAUUUGAAUUGUGGCUUAAAUUCGUUCAAUUCUUGAAUUGUAGGGUUUUUUGAUGGAUUUGAUGGAAUUCACGAGAAAAAGAAGCAAAAAGGACCAAAACAAAUCAACGUGAUAAUUCAGGGUCCAAAGUGCAAAUAUCCAAAAGAUAAGCCAAAUGAGCAAUCAAAAGAUUUCUAAUGCCAAGUACUAAUUGGAGAUCAAUAUGAGAUGAUGGAACAAAAGAGUCGAAGAAAAGAGGUCAAGAAAUAAGAAGAUUGAAUUUGGGGACUAAAAUGACGCAAAAAGAAAAUUUCCACCAUGCGACCGCAUGGAAUAUAAUCAUUCUGCCACACAACCACCAUCCGAGAUUUAAAUCUAGGCAAUUGACUCUACCAUGCGACCGCAUGGAUUAAUACUAUGCGGCCGCAUGGUAAAAAUCUAUGUCGCGAAUCUGCAGUUUCCCUUUUUCAUUAUAAUUCUUUUGAAACUCGAUUGGGAAGUGAUAUAAAAAUUUAGAGCCGUCAUAUUUCGGGGCAGAAUGCAUUGGGAGGCAAUAAACCACAUAUUGGAGAAGAUUUUGAGUACAAGUAACGAAGAAUUUCACGAAGAUUUAUCAAGAAUUCAUAAGCCGGUGAUGCGCUUUCUUCAAUCUACUAUGUAUUUUGAUUCUUUCUCCAUGUUAGGCUAUAUUUUUAUAUACUAGGAGAUCGAUGAACCUUGUGAUGUAAUCUUUAAUUUUCUAGUUUUGCAAUUUGACUUUAAG